Molecule: ribosomal RNA, 443 nt
Filed under: uncultured bacterium
Lineage: Bacteria
Description: partial 16S ribosomal RNA
Rfam family: Bacterial small subunit ribosomal RNA
Source: RNAcentral
CCUACGGGAGGCAGCAGUGGGGAAUAUUGGGCAAUGGGCGCAAGCCUGACCCAGCAACGUCGCGUGAAGGAAGAAGGCUCUCGGGUUGUAAACCUCCUUUCUGAGGGACGCAGAAAGUGACGGUACCUCCGGAAUAAGCCACGGCUAACUACGUGCAAGCAGCCGCGGUAAUACGUAGGUGGCAAGCGUUCUCCGGAUUUGUUGGGUGUAAAGGGCGUGUAGGCGGGAAAGCAAGUCAGAUGGGAAAAUUCAGGGCUCAACCCUGAGCCUGCAUUUGAAACUGUUUUUCUUGAGUGCUGGAGAGGCAGGCGGAAUUCGGUGUGUAGCGGUGAAAUGCGUUGAUAUCCGGAGGAACACCGAUGGCGAAGGCAGAUUGCUGGACAGUAACUGACGCUGAGGCGCGAAAGCGUGGGGAGCAAACAGGAUUAGAUACCCUUGUAGUC